AGCAUUUAAUCAAUUAGCCAAUGAAAAUGAAGGAACAGGAUGAACAACAGCUUGCACCUGUAAUAGUAAUUACAUUUUUCCUCUCUUCGCUAGCACUCAGCGUGGGUUGUUUAAAUAUACGUGUCUAAACAGAAGUUCUAUUCUGUGUCUUCUACGUUUUGUUCUUCAACAGUACAGUAAGAGUAAAACGAUGGCUGACAAACCAGAUAUCGCGGAGAUCUCUCAGUUUGACAAGACCAAGCUGAAGAAGACUGAAACAAAAGAGAAGAACACUCUUCCAACUAAAGAGACUAUUGAACAGGAGAAACAGUGUGAGGCAUAAACUCCCUUCACCAAGAGCAAGAUGUGGAGAACCGUGAGAUGGCAAGUCACCUGGAGCAGAUGAUGUCUUCCAACCACCAGUCACUAUAGCCCUAGGCUGGAGUGGAACAUUUGCCCUCAUAGUUUUAACUUGUGUAUCAGACCAUCCUGAAAGAUGACUGUCUUCAUGUUGAUGAUCACUGUAGUCCGAUCAUGUGUCACUGAAGAGGCAGUCAGCUUUGCACUGAGGCUGUCUAACUCUGUUCUUUUGUAAAUCCGUUGGAAUGAAGACUUCUAUUUGCCCUCUUUCUUCGGUGAAAUAAACCUCUCAAAUGAAGUAGUGUGUGUUGGGGAUUUUUAGUUAACUAUGGGCUUCUAAUAUUUGAUUGUAGGCUAAUUUUAAAUUUAACAUUGAUUUAUCUGCCUUGGCUUUUGGUGAGCUUCGCUGCUUUCAGUUGGGGAGCAAAAAUCGAGCUGUCAAGCCUAGAAUGUUCCACUUUGUGACACUUUCAGUGUUUGCUUCAAAUGAUUUUAUUUCGGUCCAAGUUGACUUAAAUUUAAGUUCUGCACUUUAAGUAUUUAAAACAAAAUGGUUUUAGUUUAGCUGUGAUGACUUAAAUGGUAAACCAACACACAAAGAAAUACAACUGUUGCAUAUCAGAAAGUUCCUAAUGGAAGGCAAUUUUAGCGACAACAUUUCUCGAGCAGCUUCCUUUUGUUAAAUGUAUUAUAGGUUACACAUGAUUCUGUUUUGCCUGAUCAUGAGACCAAGCAAGUUUACCAAACAAGUCAGGUUGCUUUCAGUUAGUCUGGGUUAUUGUCAGUUGAUUUGGUUCAAAAGUCAGACUAACUGAAAGAAACCUGGUUUAUUGGGUAAACUCUUAUUUUUAUAAGUGAAACCAUCCCCUGAUUAUUCAAGUCUGGUAAUACACAUUAACUGAAAUACUUCCUUGAAUUUCAACACAAAUCUUGAGUCCAAAAGCUAGCUAGGUGUCUGUCUGUAUUUACGUAAAUACAUUCUUCAGAUAUUUUAGGAUGUGCCACGCCAUUUACUGCUGUAAGUUGUGCUGACACACCAGUACAGCCCCUGGCCUGCAUCACUGAGGUCUGUGACGGACACUAAAAAUAAAUAAUGAAUUGUCAAGCAGUUCGUUUUCUAGAAUACAAAAGAGAGCAUCCAAUGAAUAAUGUUGGUUAUUCUCUUGUCUUAUACACCAACAUUUGUUUUUCUGGUAAGAACUAUAUUGAUUUAUAUUGUUUUUACUAAGCUACAGUGAUAAUAUUGCACAUCUUCUCUGGCAUAUCAUCUCCUAAUUUAGAUUUUUUUUUAUCUCAU
Carassius auratus (goldfish) is the source of this 1636-nucleotide long non-coding RNA. Lineage: Eukaryota; Metazoa; Chordata; Actinopteri; Cypriniformes; Cyprinidae. The record is from Ensembl.